ACGCUCGACACCUACGGGGGCAGCAGUGAGGAAUAUUGGUCAAUGGACGCAAGUCUGAACCAGCCAUGCCGCGUGCAGGAUGACGGCUCUAUGAGUUGUAAACUGCUUUUGUACGAGGGUAAACGCAGAUACGUGUAUCUGUCUGAAAGUAUCGUACGAAUAAGGAUCGGCUAACUCCGUGCUAGCAGCCGCGGUAAUCUGAGCGGGCUGGCAAGGC
This 217-nucleotide ribosomal RNA is filed under the name uncultured bacterium. RNAcentral's name for it is "partial 16S ribosomal RNA". It matches the Rfam family "Bacterial small subunit ribosomal RNA", at positions 328 to 539 of the family's 1533-position model. The record is from RNAcentral.